RNAcentral lists this ribosomal RNA (442 nucleotides) under uncultured bacterium. Its description in RNAcentral is "partial 16S ribosomal RNA". It matches the Rfam family "Bacterial small subunit ribosomal RNA", at positions 338 to 795 of the family's 1533-position model. The record is from RNAcentral.
ACUACGGGGAGCAGCAGUGGGGAAUAUUGGGCAAUGGGCGCAAGCCUGACCCAGCAAUGCCGCGUGAAGGAAGAAGGCUUUCGGGUUGUAAACUUCUUUGACAGGGGAAGAGCAGAAGACGGUACCCUGAAAACAAGCCACGGCUAACUACGUGCCAGCAGCCGCGGUAAUACGUAGGUGGCAAGCGUUGUUCGGAUUUACUGGGGGUAAAGGGCGUGUAGCCGGGAAGGCAAGUCAGAUGUGAAAUCCGGAGGCUCAACCUCCGAAUUGCAUUUGAAACUGUUUUUCUUGAGUACUGGAGAGGCAGACGGAAUUCCUUGUGUAGCGGUGAAAUGCGUAGAUAUUAGGAAGAACACCAGUGGCGAAGGCGGAUUACUGGACGACAACUGACGGUGAGGCGCGAAAGCGUGGGGAGCAAACAGGAUUAGAUACCCCUGUAGUC